Molecule: transfer RNA, 73 nt
Filed under: Selaginella moellendorffii
Lineage: Eukaryota; Viridiplantae; Streptophyta; Lycopodiopsida; Selaginellales; Selaginellaceae
Rfam family: tRNA
About the family: Transfer RNA (tRNA) molecules are approximately 80 nucleotides in length. Their secondary structure includes four short double-helical elements and three loops (D, anti-codon, and T loops). Further hydrogen bonds mediate the characteristic L-shaped molecular structure. tRNAs have two regions of fundamental functional importance: the anti-codon, which is responsible for specific mRNA codon recognition, and the 3' end, to which the tRNAs corresponding amino acid is attached (by aminoacyl-tRNA synthetases). tRNAs cope with the degeneracy of the genetic code in two manners: having more than one tRNA (with a specific anti-codon) for a particular amino acid; and 'wobble' base-pairing, i.e. permitting non-standard base-pairing at the 3rd anti-codon position.
Source: Rfam by way of RNAcentral
GCGGGGAUAGCUCAGUUGGGAGAGCAUCAGACUGAAGAUCUGAAGGCCGUGUGUUCAAUUUGUGCUCACCGCA